This 6003-nucleotide long non-coding RNA is filed under the name Daucus carota (carrot). RNAcentral's name for it is "long non-coding RNA (DCAR_LNC001345)". Lineage: Eukaryota; Viridiplantae; Streptophyta; Magnoliopsida; Apiales; Apiaceae. The record is from RNAcentral.
GGCAUAUAACUAAAUGAAACAAACCUCCUUGAGGAAUCUUGUACUGUUUCUCCCCCUCUUUUCUUAGCUUAGAUAGGAGGUAGUGGUGAUAAAAAUUCCCAGUUAUUCCUACUAAGAAUGUCGCUGUUCCAGCGUGUUUCAGAUCGAUUAUUGGCUCCUUGAAUUCUGCUGCUAAAUGCUGAGAGUAGAUCACGCUAACCGCAAAUAAAAAGUAACUGCCGGAGAUGAUAAUUACUGUAUCUAAGGGCAUGCUUCCGCUGUACUUGUGGAUGAAUAACACCUGUACACAGACAUGUUCAACUUUUGUUUCAAUAUUUUUGGUAAAGAAUAUGGAACAAGAAACUUGAGAUGUUUCUUAGUUUAUACUAUAAAAGGUAAAAACUAUGUGGUUUCCAGAAAAAUAGUGAAAAACUAAAACAGUUAUAAUAAAACUGUUCUUUUGCCGUCUAACAAACACUAACAACCACUUUUGACAGAAAAUUUUUAUCAGCUAGUUUAAUCUCAUAAAUAAUGAUGAAUUUCUAUAUGCACGAAAAUCUCCACCGACCAAAAUCAGUCACAAGCACAAAAAGUAAUUAUACACAAAAAGUAAUUCUUCCCAAAUUAAAGAGCCUGUUAUAAAACAAGGGUAGAGAAUUGUUGCAUACCUCAAAAAGUCUCUUGAAGAAAUGAACGGCAACAGCAGAAGUAAGCAACGUAAACCUGAGACCCUGAUUUUGCAUCAAAGCUAAAGCGGCAACAGCAGCAACAAAAGCCGGGAAAUAGGCCAGGAGCAUUCCAUUUCUACCAGAAAACUCGAUCAUCUUACUUUUGACAUUCUUCUUGCUAGUGUUGAAGAUCUUUGAAUAGUGCAUCAUGCUACUCCCGCUUAUUUCCAUUAAUCCAGCAAUAACUAAAGAUACAAUACUCACCAUUGACAUGGCCGUUAAAAACACUGAUUCUGGCGGUGGGUAGAUAAAUCUCAGUAAUGUAGACGACACCAUUAUUUGUGCAGAAAAUAGAAAUUGUAGAGAGAGAUGCUUGUUGUGGGAGGUACUCGUUCAACAUAUAUGAAUUAUGAAGCAUUCUUGUAAAUUAUUAAGUGGAUAGGAUGCUGUAUUUUUGUGAUCCAUAAUUGUACUAAACUUUAUUUAAAAUAAUGCAAUGCUAGGGUCCGAUAUUCAAGAAGCGUUACAUCUUUUAGUAGUGGAGUACAUGUGCAUCGAGUCCACUUGCGUUAUGAAAAAAGUUUAUAUUUAAAAAUGUGAAUAAUGAAUUCGGCAUUUAACCUGGUUAUAAAAGUUUAUGUUAUAAUUUUUUAAUUUAAUUGCCAAUAAAUUUUUAAUUAUUUAUAUUUAAAUUUUAUUUAUAAAUAAUUUGAAACAUAAUUAUUCAUUAAUUAUUUAGAUCAUUCAAAUACAACCAUCAUUAAGAUUUGUUUUGCAGAAUAUAAUAUCUUGCGAUUUAUAAAAACUAUCAUUCUAUCUUUUAAUUAUAAUGAUUGUGUUGUAACAUAUUCGAUAAUUAAGUUAUCGGUGUUUAAAAUAUUAUUGAACACCAAAAAAUAAAAUUUAAAUAAAUAUAUUAUGUUAUAUUAUAUUUUAUUUUAUAAUACUCCUGACUCCAUAAAACUUGGAUCUUAAGAACUUCAUUAAAACAUAUUAAGAAUAUAUGACAUUUCAUAUUAACUAUAUAUUAAAAUUAUUAAAUUCAUUUCAAAAAUUUAAAGGCCAACAUGACAAUCAUCGCGAGCACAAAGCAAACAACAAAAAGCUCGAUCAACAUUAUUUGAAGAAAAUUGUGGUAGUACUCAAUUAAUGAUUUGUUUAAAAAAUUUAAUUAAAUAAUUGCUAGUAAAAACUAUAUAUUGAAAAGGAACCUUGAAUAAACAAAAACCUUACAAAAAAUGCAUCGUACACGACUGUACAUAUUUGAAAAGAAAGUCAAUUAUUUGAUAUAAUAUUGUUACAAAUUGUUUCCUCUAAUAUGCAAAUGCUUAAUGCUCCGAGCCUCUAAUGUGCAAAUGAAGUGGCGGGCUGAUAUUACGAAAUGUUAGGCAAGACAAUAGUAUACACUAAUUUAUUAUUUAACGUUUUGAUUUUGACAAAUAUUUUUGACCGGCAACAUCAAAUAAUAAAACGAAUUUUCUAUGGUGUGCCCAUGGGCACACAAUAGUCACUAACUCUCAUGAGAAUACUAACUUUUGAUUGGUGGAUGGAUAUUAAAUGUUAAUGGCCCCCCUGUAUUUACACCAAUUCCACCAAUCAAAUUAAGUCAUUUUCAUGAAAGUUGGUGCUUAGCAUGUGCCCAUGGGCACACACUAGAAAAACCGAUAAUAAAAAACAGAGACAAAACUAUUGACUAUCGAGGACCGUGACCACUGACCAGAAUCUUGAGGAUUGUCCCUCGCCACUCCCUAGUGAUCCUUAUCAUUGAUUUCCACUUAUCCUUAUUUUACGAAAGUGUCUCUUGGCAGUGCAUUCUUUUGUGAUAAUUCACGUCCUAGAGUCAUUUUCGAAAAUUGUUUCAUGCCUACUUAUUUUACAAAAGUUCAGAUAUAUGACUCCUUGAGAUUGUGCUAUACUAUAUUGACCCGCUGUGAGUUCUAUAAAGAUUUGGAUCAGUUCACACUUCUGAGUUUGUAUAACAUGAAACACAUUGAGCCCAAUAACAUAUUUGAUGAUUCACAAAUUAUCAUAGCGCAUAAAUGAUCACACGAUGCAUAUAUUCACCAGCUGUGAUUAUACUUACAAAAUUGAAUAAAUUAUACUACUGUGUUCAAUCCUUACAACAUUAAGCUUAUUAUUCUAAAGAAAUAGUCACCAUCAUUGCUAAAAUUUUCAUCAUCUUCUAUCGUUGGCAGCUCAGGAUUUCUAGAUUUCUUUGCUAGAGGAUCCUCCGCACAACACUAUGUUACCUAGAUAUAAAUCUUUCGUGGAAGUGCGGAGAACUUGUUCUCUAGACAGGUUUAGGCUGCAAAAAGAGUUAGAGCAGCUAGUCUGACGGUCAAGAAAUUUCAGAUAUUAUUUGGUUCGGUUUGUCUAGUGUAUGCCCAUAGACACAUGCUACGCGUGAAAAUUUUUGUAUUUGGAUCAUUUUGAUUGGUGUAUAUGCAGGGGAUCCACCAUUAUUAAGAAGUAGAAGCUAGCCAAUCAAAAUGAUCCAAAGAAAAAAAAUUUGGUGCUUAGCAUGUACUCAUAGGCACACAAUAGAAAAUCGUAAUUGGUUUGAGCAGAAAUCUAAAGACUCAAUGAGACUAAUGUUUCCCAGUGAGGACGGGAAAUGACCUUUAGAAAUACAGAGAGUUGGUCAUGACUAUACAUGAAUAAAACUUAAUAUCAAAUUAAUUAUCUAAUAAUAUAUAUAAUUUGUAUAAAUAUAUGAAAUAUAAAGCUCAUUCAUAGUUGAAAAUUUUAAGAGUAAAUUUUAAGGGCGUGGCUACAUUUUACAUCGAUUCACAGAAAUAUGACUGGAUUUUAAAAUUGCAGAAAUGUGGCUGAGGUUCGACUCCGUUUUUUAAAACUUUGGCUCACGUUAAAUCCAUCAUAACGGAUCUAAGAGCAAGUCCAAUAGGUGUGCUAAAUCAAGUCUUAAAUCCAAAAAUAGGGAAUAUGGGAUAAAAUUGCACUCCAACACUAUGCUAGUGAUGUGCUAAAUCACUAGCACAAACCUUCCAUUCCCUAUUUUUAGAAUAUGCUAGCCACUUCUAAACUAUUUUUAUCAUUAAAAUAUUCAUUUCUCUCUCUCCCCCACAUCAUUUCCCUCUCUCCUCCACUAUGAAGUUGUUUAAAUUUAAUAUUAUUAUAAUAAUAGGGAAUGGAUAUAGGGAGUACUAUUGGAGCUCAUGUGCUAAAUCACGUGCUAAAUCACUAAGACAUAUUAUUUUAUAAUAUUUUUAGGGAACCUCUUAGCAUAGUGUUGGACUUGCUCUAACGGAGCAAAGGGUAUUUGUGGGUUUUAUGAAAUGCUCCGUCAGUUGUUCAAACGCAGAAACUCGAUCCAUAAUCAUGGCUAGAUGAGUAGAGAAUUCAGUAUCUGUCUUUUUCAAGAACCCGUACUCAAGCGGCUCUGUACAUGCAAUCGAUUUAAUUAAGCUUAAUAGGAUGGGUUGCUCGUACUUUGUGGACUAAUCAUUUGUGUUUUGUGACAAAUGAUUUAUAUAUUCUGAGUCUUGUUUGGAGGAGCAAAUUGUUUCAACAUCUCAUACAAAUCUUCUAUAUUCUCUGUUCUUCUAGCUUCUUGUAGAUCUGGAAACCUCGUGUCAUUCUGAGAGACAGUGGUGAAGUGUGUGUGAAUGUUUGAGGGUUGUGUGCAGGCUGUCAGACUGGAGAGGCUCUGUAGCAACGGUGGCGAAAAUGAAGAAGGAAAGAGAGAGAGGAAAAACACCGGAAUGAGGGGGAUGAGAUGGAGAUGAUUGUGGGUGUGUAUAUGAAGUGUAUUGGAUCUGUGUGCUAGCCUGCUAAGUGAAGUGUGCGCGCCGCGAAUAAAGCCCACCGUCAACAACGGUGGAGGUUGAGGGAGACUACCCAAAUAUUCUGCUUUUUUUGGUUUUACGUAAUUACCCCUAUCAGUUUAUGUUUUUCAAGUGAGUUAACAGUUAAAAAGUAAGGGACUGACGAUAACCAAAGUUUUAAAAGACGUAGUCGAACCUCGGCCACAUUUUGUAAAAUUUAAAAUCCAGCCAAAUUUUUGCAAAUCAAGUGUAAAAUACAGCCACACCCUUGAAAUUUACUCAUUUUUUAAUUAAUACUAAUUUUUCAAAUAUAUUUUUUAAUUAUAACCCCAUAAUUCAAAUAUUUAUAAUUAAACAGACGCAUUUUUUGUAUAAAAUUUGUAUUAGAAAUAAUAACUAGCAAAAUUAACUUAAUAUACACAUAUUCUAUACAAUGCAAGUUAUUUUUAUGAGAAAUAAUAAAUAGUAAAAUCUCUACAAGAACACUUUGGUUUUACGAGGGAUCUCAACCUUUCAGAUCACAAUGAGUUGUCAUCUUAUUAUUGACUUUUCUCUCAUAAACAUUAUGAUCCUUCGUGUAUGUAUAAUAACAACACAAAUCAUAAUUUUCCAUGUGUUAUUUUGAAAGGUUUUUGGGUUGUCUGGUAUUUGGGUUAUUAGGCUAAACAUAAUUAAACUGACUCCCAACUUGCAAUUGAGUUACUGAACUGAAAAAACUUGUAUUUAGAUAAUUUGAUUGAAAGAAAUUACAGUUGACUAAAAUUAAAAAAAAUUAGCGACUAUGUAAGCUCUUUUUUAUUUAACAAUGUUCAGCAAGUUAAUAUCGGUUCAGUUGAUCGACUGCAAAUUGUUAUCCAAGUGCAGUUUUGGGGUAUGAUUUAGCUUAUUAAUCCUAUGAGAAAUGGGACGGUAACGGAAAUUAAUUAUUUUCCCUGCAAAAAUAUGAAGGCAGAUUGUGUUGGAAGAGGGAGUUGGAUUUAUGAGUUGGUGAAUUCAAACUCAACGGCCUUCAAUAUCUAAACAUAGAUUCGUUCGAAUAUGAUCAGAAUUGUUCAAAGAGAAAAUAAAUACAGGAUAAACAUUCUGUAUCUUUUACAGUUACUAAAGAACCACGCUACAUUCUCCAAAUGGCUUUUAACAGUCUUACAAGCCAUUUAGAUACUGGUAUUUCUAUGUUCGAUCUAGAAAACAUACGGAAUGAGCGCCUUUAUAUCUUUUGGGAAGUCUUCAAAUUUCGAGAGGUACCAUUUUCUUGUUGCAUAACUUCUCCCAGUCAAGUAAGCAGAUGAACCAAAGGUGAAAGAUAAUGCAUAUACAGUUUGCGAAAUGCAGGAGAUUCCGAUGAAUCCUAUAAUUUCGAAUAAAUAAUGUGGGCAUAUAACUAAAUCAAACAAACCUCCGUGAGGAAUCUUGUACUGUUUCUCCCCCUCUUUUCUUAGCUUAGAUAGGAGGUAGUGGUGAUAAAAAUUCCCUGUUAUUCCUACUAAGAACGUCGCUGUUCCAGCGUAUUUCAGAUCGAUUAUUGGCUCCUUGAAUUCUUCUGCUAAAUGCUGAGAGUAGAUCACGCUAAC